AUGUUGAGCCCCGGCAUUUCGGUCAAGAAGCGCCACGGCGGUGCCGGGUUUGCGCUCGGGUGUGGCUGCAAGGACGCCAAGAGCGUGUCGGUGAUCUCUGCGUCGCCCUCGCCGUCCGGCGCGGGUACACCGACCACAACCGAGACGCGGCGCAGGGGCGGGAGGGCCAACCCGUCGGCGUCGACGACGACGGACACUCUGACCUCUGCCUCGUCGUCGUCCCUGCUAUGGGAGGACGCCGUGGCGGAGUUCGAGUGCGGCGACGACGGCCAGUUCAAGAUGGAGAGCUCCGCAGCCACGCAGAGCUUCUCCGGCCUGCUGCGCGAGCUCAACGAGCUGGAGCAGAGCGUCGUGUCGUGGGGCCGGAAGAGCCACCGCAGCCGCGACGACAAGAAAGCCUCGUCGCCGCCACUGGAGCACAAGCAGGCGACCAUGAAAAGCGGCGUCAAGGGCGGCGACGUCACGACGGGCGGCGCUAAAGAUCGCCAUGUCGGUGACAGCGUCGAACCGGGGACUGUUGGUGCUUGCGUCGAAGUGGGGCUCGACGGCAGCGUGGCGGUGGUGAAGCAGUCCGAGGACCCGCUGAGCGACUUCCGGCAGUCGAUGGUGCAGAUGAUCGUGGAGAACGGGAUCAUCGCCGGGGAGGAGCUGCGGCAGAUGCUCCGCCGCUUCCUCACCCUCAACGCGCCGCACCACCACGACGUCAUCCUCCGCGCCUUCGCGGAGAUCUGGGACGCUGUGUUCUCGGCCUCCUACGUGCCCGCCCCCGCCGCCGCCCCGCCCCGCAAGUACACCCGCCGCGAGGAGCCCGCCGCUGGAAGGCCGCCCAUGCCUCCGAGGACCCCUCCGCGCCACCACCACUCGCCAUCACCGUCAGCAUGGCGCGUGUAA
This 891-nucleotide ribosomal RNA is filed under the name Triticum aestivum (bread wheat). RNAcentral describes it as "partial small subunit ribosomal RNA". Lineage: Eukaryota; Viridiplantae; Streptophyta; Magnoliopsida; Poales; Poaceae. The record is from RNAcentral.